GACGAACGCUGGCGGCGUGCUUAACACAUGCAAGUCGAACGGUGAAGCGCCUUCCUUUUUGGUGGGUGUGGAUGAGUGGCGAACGGGUGAGUAACACGUGAGUAACCUGCCCCCUUCUUCUGGAUAACCGCAUGAAAGUGUGGCUAAUACGGGAUAUUCUGGGUCUGUCGCAUGAUGGGUCUGGGAAAGAUAUUGUUUCGGUGGGGGAUGGGCUCGCGGCCUAUCAGCUUGUUGGUGGGGUGAUGGCCUACCAAGGCGGUGACGGGUAGCCGGCCUGAGAGGGUGGACGGUCACACUGGGACUGAGACACGGCCCAGACUCCUACGGGAGGCAGCAGUGGGGAAUAUUGCACAAUGGGCGCAAGCCUGAUGCAGCGACGCCGCGUGAGGGAUGGAGGCCUUCGGGUUGUGAACCUCUUUCGCCAGUGAAGCAGGCCUGCCUCGUUUGUGGGUGGGUUGACGGUAGCGGGAUAAGAAGCGCCGGCUAACUACGUG
This 494-nucleotide ribosomal RNA is filed under the name uncultured bacterium. Its description in RNAcentral is "partial 16S ribosomal RNA". It matches the Rfam family "Bacterial small subunit ribosomal RNA", at positions 28 to 507 of the family's 1533-position model. The record is from RNAcentral.